CCGAAAGAUGGACAAGAACAAAGAAGAUGAUCCAUGGAAGCCUGGGGACGGAGUGCUCACCCUUGGAUCAAGAUCUGCUAUCAAACUCUAGAGGUGAGAUCAUGUAUGAGCCUCUAGAACAAUUUCUACACUCAAUAAAAGAAGAGUAAAGGAUAGUAUCAGUACAAACCACUAUGUACUGGUAGGUAUCAUAGGCUAACUCAACUUAAUAACAUAGACACAACAUAAAUCAAAUAACAAAUAGACAGACAUCAACACAUAACAAAUUCUCAAUGAAUCAACAAUACAAUAAUAACAGGUCAAACAGUGCUCACAGACAAGCCACAUAACCAUCAAAAGUAUCAACCAUACUAUAAACAUCCACAAAAUCAACACAAAUAUGUACACACAUGCUAUGGGACUUAUUUUUGCCCAAAUAGUCAUGACCUGCAAGGAACAAUCAAUGUUAAUGUACCGUACCAGAGUGGUACCCGAUCCAGCAUAAAUAUAAACGUACCGGCGUGGUACCCGAUCCAACAUAAAUAUAAAUGUUCCGAUGUGGUACCCGAUCCAACAUAAAUAUAAACGUACCGACAUGGUACCCGAUCCAAUAUAAAUAUAAACAAGUAUUAUCAAUGUCAAUUUACACCUCACAGUAUACAACACAAUGUACCAAGUUUUCAAGUACACUUAAAGCCAUAAGAUAAUUCCAUCAAGUAAAUUUUUAAUAAACAUUUAUACACGAAUCAACAAUCCAAACAUCUAUAAUUUCAAGCAUGUUCGAAUACCAAUCUACAAGUAUCCAAUUUAGAAGCAUACACACAAUUAAGUUGAAUCUAAACUCCAAUUAAAUCGUAACCUACCUCAAUCGAAGAAACCGAAUGCAAGCUACUUUACAAUGGUCUUGCCCUUCCGUAAAGUCUCCCAAAUGAUCAAAAAUUGUUCAAAUAUAUAAUCUACAUAAGAGUAUGAAUCUAAUAACACUCAUUUAUAAAUUCCUACUCUAAAAUUUCCUGACCAAAAUUUUAAUUUAUCUAAUACCUAAAUCGGAAGCAGCGUAAGCAAUGUACGAAAAUUCAGAUUCCCUCAUAUUCACAUAAACCUAACAUGAACCUUAACAUUAGUGCCAAUGAUUGACAAUCAUUACCUAACAUUUUAAUAUAUUAAAUUUCUCCACUAAUUCCCUAAUGAUUGUUGUAAUCAUUACCAUGGUUUUGCAUGAUAUUUGAUUCCACGUAAUUCUCAAAAUUCAUCAUUCAUUAAUAUACUACCCACAACUAUUUUAAUACGAACACUAAAAAUCACCUGAAGCUUGUUCUUCGUCCUUCGACGCCGCAACAGUUUUUGUUUUGCCCCCUUUUAUCUUUUUUUUUUUUUUGUUUUUCUUUAUGCCAAAAAAGGUUAAACCCUAUUAAUUGAAAGUCACAUAAUAUCUGAUAGUAAAAAAAUAAAAGAAGAUUGUGGUGUUUACUCAUUUAACUACUACUUCAACUAAUUAUUUAAAUUACUCAAAACUUUUAAAAAUGCUCAAAAUUAGUUUUGAGUUUCGUAGAAAUAAAUUAAAUUUAUAAAUUGACUAAAAACAAUACAUUUCGAACCUAUUAAAAUAUCAAAAUUCUAAAUCGAGGUCGUCUUGAAAAAAGUUGACCGUGAUCAAGCUUAACUUUAUUAAAGCUCAAGAACCUACGUAAUGACUCAAAUUACUUUUGAACACCUCAAGAAUUGAUACUUCUCAUUCCAUGAAUUAUAAUUCACGUACACCAACUACGGAGAGAGCUAAAAUAGGGAAUAUGAGAAAAUUUCAAAAACGACCGGGAGGGUCAUUACUGAAGAUACCAAUUAAACAACCGUUCAUCCCCGAACGGCAACAAGAGACAAUCAGGGAAAACAAGAAAUUAAUGAAUCGACAAAAAAACGCAGAUACUUACUACGCAUGUCUGCUUUGGUCUCCUAAAUGGCCUCCUCAAAAGGAUGAUUCUUCCACUAGACUUUCACAGACGCAAUCUCCUUAAUCCUCAACUUACGGACAACCAAAUACCUAGCCGAGCCUAUUCUACCCCCACCGCCCCAGACUCGAAAGGUUCAAUCAGCAUACAACAACACAAGGCAUAUUCUUCACCCAUAUAUAUGCAACUAUUCUAUACUGGCCGAUAAAUAUAAGUGCAUACUGGUGAUAGGGGAUGCGCACGCAGGGAUGAAUACAAAAUACACAAUCAAUAUCACAACUCAUCAUAACUGUCCUCACCAGGACCAUCAUCAUCAUAAUCAACCUCCGGCCUUGCCGGAUAUCAACACAUCAUUCAUAGUAUAUCUAUAUAGUCAAUACUUCCCAACUACUCGUUAUUAGCUAACCAACACUUAUUGUAAUAGAUUCACUAGUUCGCUAGUCAUCAAAUAACCUCUAGUUAUUAGCCUAAACAUUAUCCCUCACAUAAUCCGUAUUCAUGGGAUAACAACUAACCGCUAUUUAUUUAAUAGCCAACAUAUGAUAUCUAGUCAAGGUUCAUCACUAGACUAAAACCGCCAUUUAUCUACCAUUCAUUAUUAUCAACUUAUCGUCCUAUAUCCGUUAAUCAUUACUAGACAACACAUUACUACUUGUCACCUAACCAUCUUUAUUAACUGACACCAUUUAUUAUCUAACCAUUUUUUACCGAUUAAUCCUUGCUUAACUAUUCAUUAGUUAACUAUUUAAAGUUAUUAACUAGUCACCUCUUAUUACCAAUAUUUUUUAUUAUCUAGCCUCAUUAACACACAAAUCUUCAUUUAUCGACUAAUCGACAUCACAAACUUAGUCAUCAAUACCAACUGAUCUUCAUCUAUGCAAGAUCCGACCUCACCAUAAGUCACACAUUAACCAUCGCUAGCUACCAUAUUUCAACUAAGCAAGAAUCAUUAACUAAUAUAUUAGAUUCCUAGCCAUCAUCAGUAUCCAAUGAAUAAAUUCGUAAGCAAUAUACCGCAUCUUCCUCCGACCCAUAUCAGAGAGAUGUGUACACAACAUAUACGUAUUCAUAAACUAUAAUCGUAUUCUUUACACUGAGAAACACUCCUCGGAUUUUCAAUCAUUGUCAUAACACAGCUCUUGGCCUAUUAAUUUAUCCGUAAUAGUCACAACAUCAAAAUCACCGUCUUAGGCCUAUACAUAUCUGAAACUCAUAUCGAUAAUCAUAUUUAUAAACCGAAGCAUAUCUCUAAUCAUCUCACAUAUAAGAGGUAUCUCACAUAUUAGAGGAAUAAUAUAGAUAUACAUGUAAUCGUCUAUAGGAUAUCUUAUAUCGAUAGGUCCUACAUCAUGACUACGGGAAUAUCACCUCUCUAGGCCAAUUUGCAUAUCUAAAAGGAAAUAGCAUCUCUAUAGGCCACAUAACGUAGCUAGGAGGAAUAUCAUCUCUAAAUGCCCAAUAUCACUUCCACGGGAAGUAUUAUAACUCAAAAACCACAAUCCGAAAACAUCAAUACAAGUUACCAAGUUACGAAGUAACCUUAUUCUAAGGUUUACUAACUUCAUCUAUGUCUAACAUCCGCAACUAAGUCGACAAGACUUAACACAAGUUUAGGACUACGUGGGCCAGACGAUCCACUUCUAAUCCUCAAUUUCCAUAAUUAGGCACACUAUGUCCCAAACUAGGCUAAGGUAUCUAGUUCAUCUUCUAGAUGUCAAGUAAGCCAUAUUCAAGCCUAAGAUAGUAGCUUCGACUAGAAACAAGGAACUCAAGUCAACUCUACCCAACUUACGAUUUCAAGACUGCCAUACUAGCCCAAUAAGGCUAAAUAUACAAAUCAUGCUUCAAAUACUAAAAACACAUCCCAAAUAUAGGUUUACAUCAUAAACACGCUUCAAGUAAUCUAAACUUGAGAGAAAAACCAAUAGGAGUAAAAAGGGGAAUAAAUAUGCCAUUUUACGGGUCCCACUGAAUCAAAGCCUACAACACAUUAUCUUCACGAAACUAUUAAUAUCCAUCUAAUUAUCAUACAUUAACCACUCAACAAGAAAUAUCCGCCAAGUAUCACUCAAGGAAAGAUCAAUCAUGCCAUUUAAUAAUUCAUUUAUUCUCCCAUUCAGGAUCAUCCUUAAUUAUUUAUGAACGUAACUAAGCCAUUUGAUUUGCAUGGCCACUAUCAUGGAAAUUACUAUCCUCUAAAAGUGUGAUAUAUUAGCCAACUUUGUGGGACAUGCAAAUGUAUAAUUCAACCACAAGGUCAAGUCAAUAAUAAUUCAGCUUCUCAAAAUUGUUCCUAAUACAUAAAUCCACGCUACAACUUAUGUCUUGACAAUCACUAACUCAAUAUUUUUCAACGACAAACACUUCAUGGUCAAGCCAAACCUCUCUUAUAUCACUAACACCAAUUUAAGAUAUACAAAGUCAUUCUUAUUUCUACCUAACAAUAUUUUUAUUACGGGCUUUACUUAACUCUUAAUCACCUCAAGAGUGGUCCCCACACCACUAGCACAUAAACAAGGCCAAACAAAAUAAAUUGAUUAUAGGUCAUUGUCAGUCUCAUCACCAAUAUCGAAUUUCAGACAAGUCAUCGAUCAAAUUCUGUAGGUAUCAACAACCUCUACUAGUUUUUGUCACUUUUAUUUAAAACUCAUUAUUUUGCCACGCAUUAAGAAUUCGUUCACAUAACGAACUCAAAGAUAAUGUCACUUAGCUAGUCCUCACAAGGAACUCAUUAUAAUUUCAAUAAUAGAACUGCAUAAAAAUUCUAAAUACAAUCUCAAUGGCCGGACCACACAAGGAUCCCCAAAUAAUAUCAAAUAAUCGGACUACACAAGGGUUCAUCCACAAUAUCAUUAACAAAAACCUCUCAUUACAAAAAACACAUAUCACCUCAGUCUUUUAUUCAUAUCACUUUUUCAUCAUCUUUUCUCGACAUCACAUUCUCAUAUCAUCCUCUCAAUUCUCAUACCAUCAAUCUCAUCAGUAUAAUAGUACCAAAAUAAGUAAGCACCAUAGAAUUUCUAGUUUCACAAUAAAAAGAAAUCAAAUAAUCCCAUUAUAUUUAUCAACAAAAAUAACUUCGUCCAUUUUUUUCACUUAACAAAAACAAUUCACAACAAUGACAAAAAUCUAGCAACACAAGUUUACUCAAAUAUCAAACACAAGCAAUCAAUAAGUUCACAACUUUCACAAGUCUUUACCUAUUAACAAUAACUUUUAGACCUUAUUAACAGAUACCAAUUGAAAUCUCCUAGAUUUUUAUUCAAAAUUAUUAAGAUACCAAUUGGAAUUGUCUAGAUACCAAUUGGAUUCAAUCUAGUAGUCCAAGAUUAGGACGACAUGAUAGAGAGAAAGAAAUGAAAAUGACUUCUACAUGCGUCAUAGCCUAACGAAGAUUGGGUGUGGGGGCCCUACACACCAAUCAACGGAUGUCUACUUGACAUUGCUCUUAUUAACAUAUACUAGUUGGAAUCACCAGAUACCAAUUGACUUCAAGUAAUAGCAUGUAAGAAAGAAAAAUUUGAAUUUUCCUAGAGUCCUAUAGCCUCUCGAAGAAAAGUAACGACGUCUUCGUACCAUUUCGCAAGACUCUACUAGACAUAUUCUUGAACGAUGAAAUCGACGAACCUACAGCUCUCAUACCAACUUUAAUUUGUCACGACCCAGAUGGCCAUGAGUAGCACCCAUACUAACCUUCCUAUGGGAGAACCAUCUAAAUCAAACCAUUACCCAAUCACUUAGUCAAUAUUAAAAGGAUAUUUUCAUAAAACCAUCUUAACAAUAAUAAUUUGGGAUUAAUCAUCAGUAGUGCGGGAACCAAACAAUCUACUAACUGAAAUUCCCAAGACCCAAUAGUCAUCGUACAAGAACUACUAACAAAGAUCAUUUCUAAAGAGAUAUCCCAAAAUAAAAUAAAUAAAGAAUGUUUCAUUGCCCGAAUGAUAGACAAGAACAAAUAAGAUGACCAAUGAAAGCCUGGGGACAGAGUGCUCACCCUUAGGUCAAGAUCUGCUAUCAAACUCUAGAGGUGAGAUCAUGUAUGAGCCUUUAGAAUAAUUUCUGCACUCAACAAAAGAAGAGUAAAGGGUAGUAUCAGUACAAACCACUAUGUACUGGUAGGUAUCAUAGGCCAACUCAACUUAAUAACAUGUACACAACAUAAAUCAAAUAACAAGUUGACAGGCAUCAACACAUAACAAAUUCUCAAUGAAUCAAUAAUAAAACAAUAACAGGUCAAACAGUGCUCACAGACAAGCCACAUAACCAUCAAGAGUAUCAACCAUACUGUAAACAUCCACAAAAUCAACACAAAUAUGUACACACAUGCUAUGAGACUUAAUUUUCCCCAAAUAGUCAUGACCUGCAGGGAAAAAUCUAUGUUCAUGUACCGUACCGCGUGGUACCCAAUCCAACAUAAAUAUAAACGUACCGGCGUGGUACCCGAUCCAACAUAAAUAUAAAUGUACAGGCGUGGUACCCGAUCCAACAUAAAUAUAAAUGUACCGGCGUGGUACCCGAUCCAACAUAAAUAUAAACAAGUAUUAUCAAUAUCAAUUUACACAACCUCACAUCAUACAACACAAUGUACCAAGUUUUCAAGUACACUUAAAGUCAUAAGACAAUUUCAUCAAGUAAAUUUUCAAUAAACAUUUAUACACGAAUCAACAAUCCAAACAUCAACAAUUUCAAGCAUGUCUGAAUACCAAUCCACAAGUAUCCAAUUUAGGAGCAUACACACAAUUAAGUUGAAUCUAAACUCCAAUUAAAUCGUAAACUACCUCAAUCGAAGAAACCGAAUGCAAGCUACUUUACAAUGGUCUUGCCCUUCCGUAAAGUCUCCCAAAUGAUCAAAAUUUGUUCAAAUGUAUAAUCUACAUAAGAGUAUGAAUCUAAUAAUACUCAUUUAUAAAUUCCUACUCUAAAAUUUCCUGACCAAAAUUUUAAUUUCUCUAAUACCCAAAUCGGAAGCAGCGUAAGCAAUGUACGAAAAUUCAGAUUCCCUCAUAUUCACAUAAACCUAAAAUGAACCUUAACAUUAUUGCAAAUGAUUUACAAUCAUUACCUAACAUUUUAAUAUAUUAAAUUUCUCCACUAAUUCCCUAAUGAUUGUUGUAAUCAUUACCAUGGUUUUGCAUGAUAUUUGAUUCCACGUAAUUCUCAAAAUUCAUCAUUCAUUAAUAUACUACCCACAACUAUUUAAUACGAACACAGAAAAUCACCUGAAGCUUGUUCUUCGUCCCUCGACGCCGCAACAGUUUUUGUUUUGCCCUCCCCUUUUUUUUGUUUUUCUUUAUGCCAAAA
RNAcentral lists this long non-coding RNA (7226 nucleotides) under Capsicum annuum. Its description in RNAcentral is "long non-coding RNA (CANN_LNC000241)". Lineage: Eukaryota; Viridiplantae; Streptophyta; Magnoliopsida; Solanales; Solanaceae. The record is from RNAcentral.